AACCAGACAUGUUUAUGAAAGCAUCCCUUAACCCCUUCUGACCGGAGGACGUACAAUUACGCCCUAUUUUAGGCGGCUCUAAACGCCGCCGGGCGUAAAUGUACGCCCUCCGGUUUUUGUUAACUUACCCGGUCACCGGCGGUCCCACGCGGCAGAUCCUUCUCCUCCGGUGCUCCCCGGCCAUGUGAGAGUGGGGUCCUAGCGAGGACCCCACAAUCACAUGGCCGGGUAGGCUGCCUCCUGCAUUGCCAGCAGGGGGGCUGCCUGUAAUGACAGGUGGUCCCCCUGCUGGCUGAAAAUAAAAUGAAAUUGAAGAUUAUACUAGCUUUAGUGUACUAAUAAUCUUAAUUUUAG
Non-coding RNA from Pelobates cultripes (western spadefoot toad), 354 nucleotides. Lineage: Eukaryota; Metazoa; Chordata; Amphibia; Anura; Pelobatidae. The record is from the annotation of a GenBank genome assembly.